This 2996-nucleotide long non-coding RNA is filed under the name Homo sapiens (human). Its description in RNAcentral is "HSALNT0115599". Lineage: Eukaryota; Metazoa; Chordata; Mammalia; Primates; Hominidae. The record is from RNAcentral.
CUUCUUUCAUCUGGAUUUCUGCAUGCAAAACCAACAGAAUCAACAUUGGACGAAGAGCCUACAGGCUUUAAAAUCACAUAGGGAAUCAUCUAUUUUUAGAUUGUUAACGAAUGUAUUUGGUUUUGAAUUUUCAUUUGGACACACCUCGUUAAUUUAUAGUAUAGCAAUGUCAAGGAGCAGAGAGAUGGGGUGGACUGCCCUGUAAUUCAGCAUCUUGCUGGCUUGUUUUUAAGGAUCUAUACAAACAGCCUCUGUGGUGUUAAUCACAGGCCCUGACUAAAUGACGAAGGCUGGGGCCACUGGGAAUGUCUUAUGGUCUCACACAGGAUGGGCCUGGUCCUCAGGACGGUUUGCUCAGAUUUUGGGCAGAAGCUGACCGUUCCAAUGGAAGCCAGCCUCAAAAUCUCCUUUCCUAUGACAUAACUGGAAAGUGCUGCUAACGGCAGCAGGGGAAACAGGGCAGCAGAGCUUGUUCAGGCAGGAGAGCAAGAUUCAGGCAUGACCAAUGACCAGAGGGUCCCUGAGAGUGAAGGAGACCAACAGGCCAGGCUGUGAGAAGGCAGGAGGGCACAGGAGCCAUUCCAGAAGGCUGACUGUGAGCAGGGACUAGAGAGGCUUCAUUGCACUUACUUAUGCGAACACUCUUAGGUCUUGGGAGGGCAACAAUGGGUCUCCUGAGAGGCCUAUGACAGGUUCCUGCUCUCCAGUGACAAGGCGGGGGGCAGAGAGCACACACCCCUUCAGGGCCAGCUGGAGCUGAGUCUGCAUGGCCUCUCCACAGCGGUGCCCUCCUGGAUUUGUCUCUCUGCCAGGAUUCUUUGUGGGGUACAACAUGCCCACACCACACCCCUUCCAAUACUGGAAUUCUUCCGGACAGGCCUACGAGAGCCUGAGGAAUAGGCCCCUGUGCUUUCUGCCAGGCCAGGGGUGCACUGGGACGUGUAACAUCUAGUGACAGCCUUGGGCAGAGGCCUGAGUCCCAAGCUUGGGUCAUGGGAGAUCACAGAACUAGAGCAGUGCAGCUAAGGCCAUUUUGAGGUGACAUCUAUGAGAAACAGCUAAGUCCAAGAGCCAUGAGGGGAGAUUUGAGAAUGUGAUGAAAAUGGUGGUUUUUAGAGAAGGGUUGGGAGGUGUGGGACGCUGGCAUGAGAAUCCUCUGGUGACUACGGCUUAGACCUGAAAUCCCGAGGGGCAAAGAGUGAAAACUCCAUUUAAGGUAAAAGAGUCUCCAAACCAAUGCAUUGAUAGUAAAUAUACAAUUUAAAAAUAACAUCAUUUACAUUUACACACAUCAAUUAAAUUUAUACAUGCAAAUGGAGGGAUGGAAACAUGCCCUUUGCUCAGUUAAAUCUGUGUAGGAAUCAUUGUAUAUUAUCAUCUAAAUGUUGAAAAAUACACUUUAUUGGUAACAAGUCGUAAGAACUGGAGAAGUUUUGUCUGGGUUCAGGAUUUUCUCAUUAAGGGUAAAGUUUGGCGGUUUGGAGACCCUUAAGAAGCUAACACAUUUGCAGUGUAGUUUCUUAUAUUCUACUUCUUUUAUUCCAAUUCUUUACCUAUAAGUCUAUAGUAAUUGUAUUUUUACCCAGAGAAGCCAUGUACUUCUGAGGGAGGAAAAAACCCCUUUCUUUUUCUAGAGUGGGUGUAAGAGUCAGUUAGCACCUAGGCAUGGGAACCAAGGCCUGGCCACCUUCCCAGGGGCCCCUGAUGAUGCAGACAGGCCCAGCGUGGGCCUUCUCUGGGCUUGGGAGGGAAAGAAGUAAGGAUAAGUUUAGUUUUCUUUUGAAGUUAAUAAUCUCCUAUAAAGGCUUUUAGUAAGGUAAAGCAGACACCUUAGACAGCAUUUAACAUUUCCUCUUUCUUUUCUUGAGGUUGGUGAAAUCUGAGGGCACCAGGUCUUGGAAAGACAGGUGUUGGCCCAUCACCAGGAAAUGUGUGCCAGCCGGAGACCCUGGGCAGGGUGGGACAUGCCCCUUCUCAGUGCCCCCUGCUCCUCCUCUUCAGCUGGGUGCUGGGUGCAGAACAAAGAAAUACUUUGCUCUUGUUCUCUCUUAUAAGUGGGAGCUGAACAAUGUGAACACAUGGACCCAGGGAGGAGAACAACACACACUGGGGCCUGUCGGGGGGCCGGGCAGGGAGAGGGAGAGCAUCAGGAAAAAUAUGGACUUGCUGGGCUUAAUGCCUAGGCGAUGGGUUGAUAGGUGCAGCAAAUCACCAUGGCACACGUUUACGUAUGUAACAAACCUGCACGUCCUGCACAUGUACCCCGGAACGUAAAAGAAAACAAAAAGAAGAAAUGCUUUGCUCUCCAGAAUCCCUCUUUCCCCCAGACUGGACAGAAAGGAAGCCGAAGGAAACAUCUGAGUGGCUGGUGUCUCUCUUUUACAUUCCACCGUGGGAGGCAGGGGACUUUUUUGAAUUAGCAGUUUUCUUGUUCAAAGGGACAGUCUCCAGACGGCAUUGGGAGAAGUCUGUCUGUAACAUUCUGUGUCUUCUCAUGACCACAACUUAUCUGAGGAAUGACACUAUUUCCAGAACAGAUUCUGAUGGAGAUUUUGGACCAAUUUUGAAAAUGCUGUAGGGAUAAACAUUCUCAGAUGUGCUGAACUUGGGAUGAUGUGUGGAUACUUUAAGAGGAGCAAAACCAAACAAAACAAAAUAGCGGCCUUUUACUCAGACAGUGUUCCAGUCAGAGAUGGGCGUGCUGUGUAUGAGGGUGAAGUUCGUGGCGGUGCAGGAUAAAGGAGGAGGAAGACAAACUUUGAGCAUUUGCAGGUUGAUAUGUACUCACGAUCUUAUUUCAUCUUUCCAACAACCAGUGUGGAGUGGAAUAUUUUAUUUUUCAUGAAUUUUUUCCUCCACUUUAUUGAAGUAUAAUUAGUAUAUCAAAAAACUGCACAUAAUAAUGUAUCUAAUUUGGUGAGUUUGGACAAAUGUAUACAACUCAUGUUACUCUCUCCCCAAUGCAGAUAAUAAAUACGUCUAUCACCUCUUCAAAU